CGUUAGCGGCGGACGGGUGAGUAACACGUGGGUAACCUACCUAUAAGACUGGGACAACUUCGGGAAACCGGAGCUAAUACCGGAUAAGAUAUCGAACCGCAUGGUUCGAUAGUGAAAGANGGUUUUGCUAUCACUUAUAGAUGGACCCGCGCCGUAUUAGCUAGUUGGUGAGGUAACGGCUCACCAAGGCAACGAUACGUAGCCGACCUGAGAGGGUGAUCGGCCACACUGGAACUGAGACACGGUCCAGACUCCUACGGGAGGCAGCAGAA
Molecule: ribosomal RNA, 272 nt
Filed under: uncultured Staphylococcus sp.
Lineage: Bacteria; Bacillati; Bacillota; Bacilli; Caryophanales; Staphylococcaceae
Description: partial 16S ribosomal RNA
Rfam family: Bacterial small subunit ribosomal RNA
Source: RNAcentral